AUACAAUGGAGAGUUUGAUCCUGGCUCAGGAUGAACGCUAGCGGGAGGCCUAACACAUGCAAGCUGAGCGGUAGAGUUCCUUCGGGGACUUGAGAGCGGC
This 100-nucleotide ribosomal RNA is filed under the name Chryseobacterium cheonjiense. Its description in RNAcentral is "Chryseobacterium sp. RJ-7-14 partial 16S ribosomal RNA". It matches the Rfam family "Bacterial small subunit ribosomal RNA", at positions 1 to 99 of the family's 1533-position model. The record is from RNAcentral. Lineage: Bacteria; Pseudomonadati; Bacteroidota; Flavobacteriia; Flavobacteriales; Weeksellaceae.